GACGAACGCUGGCGGCGUGCUUAACACAUGCAAGUCGAGCGGUAAGGCCCUUUCGGGGGUACACGAGCGGCGAACGGGUGAGUAACACGUGGGUGACCUGCCCUCAGCUCUGGGAUAAGCCUGGGAAACCGGGUCUAAUACUGGAUAUGACUCCAUGACGCAUGUUGUGGGGUGGAAAGCCUUGUGCGGCUGAGGAUGGGCCCGCGGCCUAUCAGCUUGUUGGUGGGGUGANGGCCUACCAAGGCGACGACGGGUAGCCGGCCUGAGAGGGCGACCGGCCACACUGGGACUGAGACACGGCCCAGACUCCUACGGGAGGUCAGCAGUGGGGAAUCUUGCGCAAUGGGCGAAAGCCUGACGCAGCGACGCCGCGUGAGGGAUGACGGCCUCGG
RNAcentral lists this ribosomal RNA (392 nucleotides) under uncultured bacterium. RNAcentral's name for it is "bacterial SSU rRNA". It matches the Rfam family "Bacterial small subunit ribosomal RNA", at positions 28 to 420 of the family's 1533-position model. The record is from RNAcentral.